UUGGAGGCUUGAAUGAAAGGUUUGACGGAGGAAAAACUGUCUAAGUAGUUGAAGUUGAAUUUAACAUUUGUGUGAAAAGGCAUUAAUGGGUUAGAGGGACGAUAAGACCCUAUAAAACUUUACAUAUAAUAUUUUUUAGUUAAAUUGAUGUAUUAAUUAUUAAAUGGUUGAAUAUGUUUUGCUGGGGCGGCAGAAAUAUAAUAUUAACUGUUUUAAAUAUAAAAUAUUUAUUAAUAGAUAAUAUUCCUUGAUUCAAGAGUUAAGAUUAAGUUACUUUAGGGAUAACAGCAUAAUUUUUUCUGAGAGUUCUUAUCGAAGAUAAUAGUUGUGACCUCGAUGUUGAAUUAAAUUUUCUUUUAGGUGCAGGAGUUUAAAGGGAAGGCCUGUUCGGCCUAUAAAUAUUUACAUGAUUUGAGUUCAAACCGGU
This 427-nucleotide ribosomal RNA is filed under the name Synalpheus sanctithomae. RNAcentral's name for it is "partial large subunit ribosomal RNA". It matches the Rfam family "Bacterial large subunit ribosomal RNA", at positions 1980 to 2620 of the family's 2925-position model. Lineage: Eukaryota; Metazoa; Arthropoda; Malacostraca; Decapoda; Alpheidae. The record is from RNAcentral.